Molecule: ribosomal RNA, 1013 nt
Filed under: Rasamsonia piperina
Lineage: Eukaryota; Fungi; Ascomycota; Eurotiomycetes; Eurotiales; Trichocomaceae
Description: SSU rRNA
Rfam family: Eukaryotic small subunit ribosomal RNA
Source: RNAcentral
AACUGCGAAUGGCUCAUUAAAUCAGUUAUCGUUUAUUUGAUAGUACCUUACUACAUGGAUACCUGUGGUAAUUCUAGAGCUAAUACAUGCUGAAAACCCCGACUUCGGAAGGGGUGUAUUUAUUAGAUAAAAAACCAACGCCCUUCGGGGCUCCUUGGUGAUUCAUAAUAACUUAACGAAUCGCAUGGCCUUGCGCCGGCGAUGGUUCAUUCAAAUUUCUGCCCUAUCAACUUUCGAUGGUAGGAUAGUGGCCUACCAUGGUGGCAACGGGUAACGGGGAAUUAGGGUUCGAUUCCGGAGAGGGAGCCUGAGAAACGGCUACCACAUCCAAGGAAGGCAGCAGGCGCGCAAAUUACCCAAUCCCGAUACGGGGAGGUAGUGACAAUAAAUACUGAUACAGGGCCCUUUUGGGUCUUGUAAUUGGAAUGAGUACAAUCUAAAUCCCUUAACGAGGAACAAUUGGAGGGCAAGUCUGGUGCCAGCAGCCGCGGUAAUUCCAGCUCCAAUAGCGUAUAUUAAAGUUGUUGCAGUUAAAAAGCUCGUAGUUGAACCUUGGGCCUGGCUGGCCGGUCCGCCUCACCGCGAGUACUGGUCCGGCUGGGCCUUUCCUUCUGGGGAACCCCAUGGCCUUCACUGGCCGUGGCGGGGAACCAGGACUUUUACUGUGAAAAAAUUAGAGUGUUCAAAGCAGGCCUUUGCUCGAAUACAUUAGCAUGGAAUAAUAGAAUAGGACGUGCGGUUCUAUUUUGUUGGUUUCUAGGACCGCCGUAAUGAUUAAUAGGGAUAGUCGGGGGCGUCAGUAUUCAGCUGUCAGAGGUGAAAUUCUUGGAUUUGCUGAAGACUAACUACUGCGAAAGCAUUCGCCAAGGAUGUUUUCAUUAAUCAGGGAACGAAAGUUAGGGGAUCGAAGACGAUCAGAUACCGUCGUAGUCUUAACCAUAAACUAUGCCGACUAGGGAUCGGACGGUGUUUCUAUGAUGACCCGUUCGGCACCUUACGAGAAAUCAAAGUUU